This is a long non-coding RNA of Oncorhynchus keta (chum salmon), 260 nucleotides long. RefSeq lists it as uncharacterized. The transcript is spliced from 3 exons. NCBI's taxonomy places the organism in Eukaryota, Metazoa, Chordata, Actinopteri, Salmoniformes, Salmonidae. The record is from RefSeq and is a predicted model, not a curated record.
UCUUCUGAACAAGCCCAUAUCUCAGAUCAGGUGUAUUGGUCAUACCUUCUUCUGAACAAGCCCAUAUCUCAGAUCAGGUGUAUUGGUCAUACCUUCUUCUGAACAAGCCCAUAUCUCAGAUCAGGUGUAUUGGUCAUACCUUCUUCUGAACAAGCCCAUAUCUCAGAUCAGGUGUAUUGGUCAUACCUUCUUCUGAACAAGCCCAUAUCUCAGAUCAGGUGUAUUGGUCAUACCUUCUUCUGAACAAGCCCAUAUCUCAG